RNAcentral lists this ribosomal RNA (482 nucleotides) under uncultured bacterium. RNAcentral's name for it is "partial 16S ribosomal RNA". It matches the Rfam family "Bacterial small subunit ribosomal RNA", at positions 355 to 847 of the family's 1533-position model. The record is from RNAcentral.
UGGGGAAUAUUGCACAAUGGGCGCAAGCCUGAUGCAGCAACGCCGCGUGAGGGACGACGGCCUUCGGGUUGUAAACCUCUUUUAGUAGGGAAGAAGCGAAAGUGACGGUACCUGCAGAAAAAGCACCGGCUAACUACGUGCCAGCAGCCGCGGUAAUACGUAGGGUGCGAGCGUUGUCCGGAAUUAUUGGGCGUAAAGAGCUCGUAGGCGGUCUGUCGCGUCUGCUGUGAAAACCCGAGGCUCAACCUCGGGCCUGCAGUGGGUACGGGCAGACUAGAGUGCGGUAGGGGAGAAUGGAAUUCCUGGUGUAGCGGUGGAAUGCGCAGAUAUCAGGAGGAACACCGAUGGCGAAGGCAGUUCUCUGGGCCGUAACUGACGCUGAGGAGCGAAAGCGUGGGGAGCGAACAGGGUUAGAUACCCUGGUAGUCCACGCCGUAAACGUUGGGCGCUAGAUGUGGGGACCAUUCCACGGUUUCCGUGUC